Molecule: non-coding RNA, 30 nt
Filed under: Mus musculus (house mouse)
Lineage: Eukaryota; Metazoa; Chordata; Mammalia; Rodentia; Muridae
Source: RNAcentral
UGUUUUUUAAAGGUAGUCUAGUAUUCAGCA